AUUCUGGUUGAUCCUGCCAGUAGUUAUAUGCUUGUCUCAAAGAUUAAGCCAUGCAUGUCUAAGUACACACGAAUUAAAAGUGAAACCGCAAAGGCGGUGGAGUUCUUAUAUGUAAUUAAGUACUUGUACUUUUUUAUAUAUUCCUCCUCUUAAUCGAGUGUUUUUGUGGGUAUUCUGUGCAUGGGAUAAUGAAGUAAGACCUCUGUUCUGCUUUCAUUGGUUUUCAGAUCAAGAGGUAAUGAUUAAUAGAAGCAGUUUGGGGGCAUUAGUAUUACGACGCGAGAGGUGAAAAGCGAAAGCAUUUGCCAAAGAUGUUUUCAUUAAUCAAGAACGAAAGUUAGAGGUUCGAAGGCGAUCAGAUUCCGCCCUAACCAUAAACGAUGCCAGCUAGCAAUUGGGUGUAGCUACUUUUAUGGCUCUCUCAGUCGCUUCACGGGAAACCAAAGCUUUUGGGCUCCGGGGAAAGUAUGGUUGCAAAGCUGAAACUUAAAGGAAUUGACGGAGGGCACCACCAGGAGUGGAGCCUGCGGCUUAAUUUGACUCAACACGGGAAAACUUACCAGCUCCGAACAUAAGUGUGUAAGACAGAUUGAUAGGUCUUUCUCGAAUCUAUGGGUGGUGCUGCAUGGCCGUUCUUAGUUCGUGGAGUGAUUUGUCUGGUUAAUUCCGAUAACGAACGAGACUCAAAUAUAUUAAAUAGAUAUCUUCAGGAUUAUGGUAUUGAAGCUUAUAUU
This 734-nucleotide non-coding RNA is filed under the name Drosophila willistoni. RNAcentral describes it as "Eukaryotic small subunit ribosomal RNA". It matches the Rfam family "Eukaryotic small subunit ribosomal RNA", at positions 1 to 1392 of the family's 1831-position model. Lineage: Eukaryota; Metazoa; Arthropoda; Insecta; Diptera; Drosophilidae. The record is from Rfam by way of RNAcentral.